AUACGGAGGGUACGAACGUUAAUCGGAAUUACUGGGCGUAAAGCGCGCGUAGGUGGUUCGGUAAGUGGGAUGUGAAAGCCCCGGGCUCAACCCGGGAACUGCAUUCCAAACUGCCGGGCUAGAGUAUGGUAGAGGGAGGUAGAAUUUCCUGUGUAGCGGUGAAAUGCGUAGAUAUAGGAAGGAAUACCGGUGGCGAAGGCGGCCUCCUGGACCAAUACUGACACUGAGGUGCGAAAGCGUGGGGAGCAAACGGGAUUAGAAACCCCGGUAGUCC
This 274-nucleotide ribosomal RNA is filed under the name uncultured bacterium. Its description in RNAcentral is "partial 16S ribosomal RNA". It matches the Rfam family "Bacterial small subunit ribosomal RNA", at positions 523 to 796 of the family's 1533-position model. The record is from RNAcentral.